RNAcentral lists this ribosomal RNA (465 nucleotides) under Vreelandella stevensii. RNAcentral describes it as "partial 16S ribosomal RNA". It matches the Rfam family "Bacterial small subunit ribosomal RNA", at positions 338 to 795 of the family's 1533-position model. Lineage: Bacteria; Pseudomonadati; Pseudomonadota; Gammaproteobacteria; Oceanospirillales; Halomonadaceae. The record is from RNAcentral.
CCUACGGGUGGCAGCAGUGGGGAAUAUUGGACAAUGGGGGGAACCCUGAUCCAGCCAUGCCGCGUGUGUGAAGAAGGCCCUCGGGUUGUAAAGCACUUUCAGUGAGGAAGAACGCCUGGUGGUUAAUACCCAUCAGGAAAGACAUCACUCACAGAAGAAGCACCGGCUAACUCCGUGCCAGCAGCCGCGGUAAAACGGAGGGUGCGAGCGUUAAUCGGAAUUACUGGGCGUAAAGCGCGCGUAGGUGGCUUGAUAAGCCGGUUGUGAAAGCCCCGGGCUCAACCUGGGAACGGCAUCCGGAACUGUCAAGCUAGAGUGCAGGAGAGGAAGGUAGAAUUCCCGGUGUAGCGGUGAAAUGCGUAGAGAUCGGGAGGAAUACCAGUGGCGAAGGCGGCCUUCUGGACUGACACUGACACUGAGGUGCGAAAGCGUGGGUAGCAAACAGGAUUAGAUACCCCUGUAGUC